GAUGAACGCUAGCUACAGGCCUAACACAUGCAAGUCGAGGGGAAACGACAUCGAAAGCUUGCUUUUGAUGGGCGUCGACCGGCGCACGGGUGAGUAACGCGUAUCCAACCUGCCCACCACUUGGGGAUAACCUUGCGAAAGUAAGACUAAUACCCAAUGAUAUCCCACGAAGACAUCUGAAUGGGAUUAAAGAUUUAUCGGUGAUGGAUGGGGAUGCGUCUGAUUAGCUUGUUGGCGGGGUAACGGCCCACCAAGGCAACGAUCAGUAGGGGUUCUGAGAGGAAGGUCCCCCACAUUGGAACUGAGACACGGUCCAAACUCCUACGGGAGGCAGCAGUGAGGAAUAUUGGUCAAUGGGCGAGAGCCUGAACCAGCCAAGUAGCGUGCAGGAAGACGGCCCUAUGGGUUGUAAACUGCUUUUAUAAGGGAAUAAAGUGGGUCACGUGUGACUUUUUGCAUGUACCUUAUGAAUAAGGACCGGCUAAUUCCGUG
This 492-nucleotide ribosomal RNA is filed under the name uncultured bacterium. Its description in RNAcentral is "partial 16S ribosomal RNA". It matches the Rfam family "Bacterial small subunit ribosomal RNA", at positions 28 to 507 of the family's 1533-position model. The record is from RNAcentral.